RNAcentral lists this ribosomal RNA (133 nucleotides) under uncultured bacterium. Its description in RNAcentral is "partial 16S ribosomal RNA". The record is from RNAcentral.
GGUACCAUCAAUCCCAGGCAUUAUUCGCACCCGGUUUAUUUUUCCCGAAUGACAGGAGUUUACGACCCGAAAGCCUUCAUCCUCCACGCAGCGUCGCUUUGUCACGCUUCCGCGCAUUGCAGAAGAUCCUCGA